AGUGAACGCUGGCGGUAGGCCUAACACAUGCAAGUCGAACGGCAGCACAGUAAGAGCUUGCUCUUACGGGUGGCGAGUGGCGGACGGGUGAGGAAUACAUCGGAAUCUACUUUUUCGUGGGGGAUAACGUAGGGAAACUUACGCUAAUACCGCAUACGACCUACGGGUGAAAGCAGGGGAUCUUCGGACCUUGCGCGAUUGAAUGAGCCGAUGUCGGAUUAGCUAGUUGGCGGGGUAAAGGCCCACCAAGGCGACGAUCCGUAGCUGGUCUGAGAGGAUGAUCAGCCACACUGGAACUGAGACACGGUCCAGACUCCUACGGGAGGCAGCAGUGGGGAAUAUUGGACAAUGGGCGCAAGCCUGAUCCAGCCAUACCGCGUGGGUGAAGAAGGCCUUCGGGUUGUAAGACCCUUUUGUUGGGAAAGAAAAGCAGCAGGUUAAUACCCCGCUGUUCUGACGGUACCCAAAGAAUAAGCACCGGCUAACUUCGUG
This 492-nucleotide ribosomal RNA is filed under the name uncultured bacterium. RNAcentral describes it as "partial 16S ribosomal RNA". It matches the Rfam family "Bacterial small subunit ribosomal RNA", at positions 29 to 507 of the family's 1533-position model. The record is from RNAcentral.